This 74-nucleotide transfer RNA is filed under the name Actinokineospora alba. Its description in RNAcentral is "Alloactinosynnema alba tRNA". It matches the Rfam family "tRNA". From Rfam's summary of the family: Transfer RNA (tRNA) molecules are approximately 80 nucleotides in length. Their secondary structure includes four short double-helical elements and three loops (D, anti-codon, and T loops). The record is from Rfam by way of RNAcentral. Lineage: Bacteria; Bacillati; Actinomycetota; Actinomycetes; Pseudonocardiales; Pseudonocardiaceae. RNAcentral also lists the same sequence under 1 other name.
GCGGUCGUAGCCCAAUCGGCAGAGGCACCUGGUCGAGGGCCAGGCCAGUCGGGGUUCGACUCCCCGCGACCGCA